GACGAACGCUGGCGGCGUGCUUAACACAUGCAAGUCGAACGGAAAGGCCCUGCUUUUGUGGGGUGCUCGAGUGGCGUACGGGUGAGUAACACGUGAGUAACCUGCCCUUGACUUUGGGAUAACUUCAGGAGACUGGGGCUAAUACCGGAUAGGAGCUCCUGCUGCAUGGUGGGGGUUGGAAAGUUUCGGCGGUUGGGGAUGGACUCGCGGCUUAUCAGCUUGUUGGUGGGGUAGUGGCUUACCAAGGCUUUGACGGGUAGCCGGCCUGAGAGGGUGACCGGCCACAUUGGGACUGAGAUACGGCCCAGACUCCUACGGGAGGCAGCAGUGGGGAAUAUUGCACAAUGGGCGGAAGCCUGAUGCAGCAACGCCGCGUGCGGGAUGACGGCCUUCGGGUUGUAAACCGCUUUCGCCUGUGACGAAGCGUGAGUGACGGUAAUGGGUAAAGAAGCACCGGCUAACUACGUG
RNAcentral lists this ribosomal RNA (468 nucleotides) under uncultured bacterium. RNAcentral describes it as "partial 16S ribosomal RNA". It matches the Rfam family "Bacterial small subunit ribosomal RNA", at positions 28 to 507 of the family's 1533-position model. The record is from RNAcentral.